Molecule: transfer RNA, 75 nt
Filed under: Nitrospinota bacterium
Lineage: Bacteria; Pseudomonadati; Nitrospinota
Description: tRNA-Gly
Rfam family: tRNA
About the family: Transfer RNA (tRNA) molecules are approximately 80 nucleotides in length. Their secondary structure includes four short double-helical elements and three loops (D, anti-codon, and T loops).
Source: RNAcentral
GCGGGAGUAACUCAACGGUAGAGUGUCAGCUUCCCAAGCUGGAGGUUGCGGGUUCGAAUCCCGUCUCCCGCUCCA